Molecule: long non-coding RNA, 542 nt
Filed under: Gossypium barbadense (sea-island cotton)
Lineage: Eukaryota; Viridiplantae; Streptophyta; Magnoliopsida; Malvales; Malvaceae
Description: long non-coding RNA (GBAR_LNC000788)
Source: RNAcentral
UCCCAAGCUGUUUUGGCUCUUUGCAUGGGCAAUGUUUGGCCUCUUGUCUGAUUAAACUAGGGUUUUUUCUCCCCAUAUCUAGCUUAAUCUUCUUACAGUAUUUUUUAAUUGUUUCCUAUUUUUUGGGGGAUCUUUGGUUUACACCUUUUGAUUGUCUGUUUCAGGGGAGUUAAGGGCGUGGUUGGACUUGGAAAGUGGUUCGACUCUUUCUUGAAUGAGGGAAGCUUCUAUCUUGUUGCUCGAGUCCUUUUGAUCAUUUCAGUGCUCGUGGUUUGGAGAGGUUCUUUGGAGGUGCUAGAGUGGUCAAAUCCACGAUUUUGGGAUGUCGUAGGACGGUUGUUUUAGCUUCGCGACAGCGCCUCUGAUUCGUUUCUAGGUUGAUGAUGUUGGCACUACGUUAUUUUCUCAAGUCUCACAUAUUUUUGUAAGAGCUUCAUCUUCCAAUGCCUUGAUUUUUUUCCUAAGACUGUUAGCAAUUUAAAUAGGAAAAUUGAAAUAAGAAAAAUAAGGUAAUGUUACAAAAAUGUUAAAAUUUUAAAAAU